Molecule: ribosomal RNA, 253 nt
Filed under: uncultured bacterium
Lineage: Bacteria
Description: partial 16S ribosomal RNA
Rfam family: Bacterial small subunit ribosomal RNA
Source: RNAcentral
UACGUAGGGAGCAAGCGUUGUCCGGAAUCAUUGGGCGUAAAGCGCGCGUAGGUGGCCUCGUAAGUCCGCUGUGAAAGUCAAAGGCUCAACCUUUGAAAGCCGGUGGAUACUGUGAGGCUAGAGUACGGAAGAGGCGAGUGGAAUUCCUGGUGUAGCGGUGGAAUGCGCAGAUAUCAGGAGGAACACCAAUAGCGAAGGCAGCUCGCUGGGACGUAACUGACACUGAGGCGCGAAAGCUAGGGGAGCAAACAGG